CCAUUGGUGUGCACACACAGCUGGCAUGCCUUGCUCCUGCCCCCAUUCCUCCAAAUGAGAGCUGUGGUCUGUUUGAAAGAAUCUUGUCAUCAUUUACCAAAGGUGAAAGCCACCCCUUCCUUUCAAGAACAAUGGUUUUGAUGACAAUUCAGUCCAAAAAUCCAAGCCCAGCGUGCUGGUCACUGCUUUGCCUUUUUCACAAUGGUGCCAACAGCUGAUAUGACUGUAGUUUUGGAUCCACUUGCACUGGUUGUCACUGUGACAACACCUGGCAGUGUUGCAGUAGUGGUGAGGAUGGUGGGCUGAGCUAUUGUUGUUACAGGGAUGGCUGAGUCCCAUUUGCUCUUCCUCUUCUGUGCAUCUCCAACUGUAGUACUGGCUGUCGUGGUUGUUGUAGAGGCAGCACUUGUUGUUGUGCCCUUCUUAGUGCCAGUCACAAAUUCAAUCUUUGUGCGUUCCUUCUUGGCCUUCUCCAGUUUGUCCAUUUCAAUCUUCUGGGCUUUUGCUAGUGCCUCAUAAUAUGAAUCCUCUGACCAGCCAUGAGGAUCAAACAUGUCCUUUGGGUAAUUUGUACCAAGUUCAUCAAUUGAACAGAACUGGAUCAGCUUUUCAUAGAUGCUGGGGUUGCGGAAUUCCUUUUUCCUUUGAAUGAUGUAGUUCAUAUCCAUGCCCUCUUUUAUUUUCCUCUCAUACAGCUUUUGAAUCUUAUCCUGCAAGUGGUUAGAACAUCUGCCAGGAGGCUCAGGAGGGAUUCUGAUCUCAUCUGGAGACAUGUUCCGCACUCUUUCUGAAAAAGAAGCAACUAGCUCCUGAGGAUCUCUUUUCUCCAGUUCUGAGAAUUCCUUUAGGUCACCAGCCUCAGGUUUUUCAGUCUCUGAAUCGUCAUCUUCUGACUGCCUGCUGUUCUCGUCGUCGUCCUCUUCAUACCCCUCCUCAUCCCCAUCCAGGCGGCUGAAAUCAUCCUCUCCAUACCCAACGGAGACGAGCCCUCCUUUCUCUCCCGUAGCCGUUCCCCCAUCGCUUCCCGCCGUCCCGGUCUCGCUAUCCGACUCCGGGUCUGAAUCCUCGGCAUAAACAGCCAAAGAGGACAAGACGCUACGCUUCGCCGCCG
Molecule: long non-coding RNA, 1111 nt
Filed under: Gallus gallus (chicken)
Lineage: Eukaryota; Metazoa; Chordata; Aves; Galliformes; Phasianidae
Source: RNAcentral